CCAGACUCCUACGGGAGGCAGCAGUGAGGAAUAUUGGUCAAUGGCCGAGAGGCUGAACCAGCCAAGUCGCGUGAGGGAGGACGGCCCUACGGGUUGUAAACCUCUUUUGUCAGGGAGCAAGGGACAGGUCGUGACCUGUUGUGAGAGUACCUGAAGAAAAAGCAUCGGCUAACUCCGUGCCAGCAGCCGCGGUAAUACGGAGGAUGCGAGCGUUAUCCGGAUUUAUUGGGUUUAAAGGGUGCGUAGGCGGACAGUCAAGUCAGCGGUAAAAAUGCGGUGCUCAACGCCGUACAGCCGUUGAAACUGGCAGUCUUGAGUGGGCGAGAAGUAUGCGGAAUGCGUGGUGUAGCGGUGAAAUGCAUAGAUAUCACGCAGAACUCCGAUUGCGAAGGCAGCAUACCGGCGCCCGACUGACGCUGAGGCACGAAAGCGUGGGUAUCGAACAGGAUUAGAUACCCCAGUAGG
Molecule: ribosomal RNA, 465 nt
Filed under: uncultured bacterium
Lineage: Bacteria
Description: bacterial SSU rRNA
Rfam family: Bacterial small subunit ribosomal RNA
Source: RNAcentral